UCGGAGUGAUCUAUAAUUCGGGGGCAUAAAAGCUAACCUUUAAUAUUAUUCUUUUUUAUCUCAAAGACUUGGUGUUUUUGUGCAUAUAUUCUUUGAUUUUGUAUUUUCUUCUCCUGAUCAUUAUGCAAUAUCUUGCUUUACUAUGUGUUGAUGUCGAAAAUUUUGCUUGGGUAUUUCUGGAAAUCAAUCUUACUUUUCCAGUUGGUGAAGGACUAUGAGUGUGACAUUCUUUACCAUACGAGGAAAGCCAAGAUGGGCAACCCGAAUGUACUACUCUAGUUGCUGCCCCUAUUUCAAGGUUAGUAAGUGCCUCGCAAGUGGCUUCUAGCACUUGUGCUUUCGCGGGGAUGCCCCAAGUUUGGUUCUAGUGCAUUCGCCAGUAUCCAAAUCUCCAACCAUGGGAUCUUCCCAAGCUUUAGACCAUCCUAUGGUGGCGGUUCCCAUGACCGUUGUCAUAGUUUCUGUCGUUUCUUCAUCAUCUUCCCCUGCAGCAUGUUCUGCUAGAAUCUUCACUACUGUAAUUCUGAGAGGUGCCCCAGUUUCGCAACAUGCCUCCUCUGAUGGCCUUGGCACGAUAAAAAUCGACUUCUUAAAAAAAUAAAUGUUUCCUAGAAAAUUUAUUUGCUAGUGUUGAGGAUUCUCCGGAGGAAGGAGAGACUGAUAGUUUCCCUAGGAGUGAUUCCCCAGAAAAGAUUUCUGCUAUUGAUACUUCCUCCAUCCUGUCACCACCGCAACUCCCUCCAUCCUCAGGUUUUGACUCACUUCAAUUGUGGUGAGCAUCCCAAUUUUCUUACCUAUCGAGUUGGGUUGGGACGAAGAAGGUAAUGCUGAAGUUGCCAUGGUUGUGAGUGGGUCUGGACCGCAAAAAACUCAGAUGGAUGUCGUUGCCCCAGUUGUGCCCAGUGAUUCUAAUGUGCAUUCCUCGCCAGGGGUCACAGCUAUGCAAAACAUAGUUAUGUCCCUUCCUAGUCUACCCUUGGUAGAAGCUAUCAUGGUUGUAGCAUAAUUGUCUGCCACAUUAUCAGAGGCUAACUUAGCAGUUAUGUCUGAUGCCCCUCCUGCCUCUAUUCUUGAUUGAUGAGUAGAGAUAGCAGCUACCAGCAGGAGAGAUGGUGUGGUGGCAUGAGAUCUUAAGGAAGAGGAUGUUCUUUGGGUAGUUGUGGUAUGCUUCCCGAAUGAACCGAUUGCGCAGGUGGACGACAUCCGUAAAGUGAAAGAGGCGAUGUGCGAGCAUCUAAUAUUGGUUUGCCUUUAUUCGGGCGUGCUCGAACAUCAGGAUUUAGUAAUUAGACGACCAAAAGAAGAGAACUAUAGAGUUGGAGGCUCAGUUGAUGGAAGCUCUUCAAGCUUUGGAACAAGAGAAAGAGCAGAGGAUAAAAAAAUGAAAACUUUGUUGAAGAGAUGACGAGGAGGUAGAUAGCCAUUCGACGAAGUUGGUUAAUAUGGAAAUGGAGAAGAAGAAGAAGAAGGUUGUGGAGGACAAGAUGGUUUUCCAAAAGAAAUUGGAGUCGGCCAAAGAGUUAGUGAGAGUUGUGAGAGUGAAAGCUAAUUAGGUGGAUAAGCUCCGUAUUGCUGCAAUCGCGGAGAGAGAUGCAGUGAAACUAACUCUUGGGAUCUGCAGGAGAGAAGUUGAAAGGGGCAGAAGGAUAGGUUAAUGACCUUCUAUAGGAUAUUGAACAAGUCCAUGUUGAGAAGACUCGGGAGCGUAUACCUGGCCAAGAGAUUGCAGAGAAAGUGAAUAUCUAGAUCGAUGAAGUGGAACUGGCCGAGUAUAUGGAUGAAUUUUGAAUGACGAGAAGCGAUUGCUUUCACAAAAAAGAGAUAUGGUUGUGCAACACUAUGAGUCAUUAAACAUUACUCUUGGCGACUACGGUGUGGACCAUUAUUUGCGAGACUUGGGUGAUAUUUCCAUUAGGUAUCCAGCAGAACACCUAGAUGUGUCGCGAGUAAAUGUCAAAAGGUUGGGGUUCUUAUACCAAGUCGAUGGGUCUCUAGCAGAUGAGUUUAUACCUCAUGUUGAAGUAAUGGACCUGACAGAUCCAAAAGGAAAGCGAGUGGUGCAGACUAUAGUGAACGUAGCAGCGGAAGAAAUAAUGGCGGGUGAUGAAGGUCCCACGAGUCAACCGAAGAGAACUCCAAUAGCUGGUGCCAGAGGUGGAAGCUCAUCAUCCGCAACAAAUAGGAGAACGAAAGGUAGUGUUCAUCAGUCUUGAAACUCAUAAUCUAUGUUAAAUAAUAUUUUUUUUCUUUUAUUUUUCUUGAUGUUGUUGGAUUUUUAAAUUCCAAGUUAUCUUUGUACAUACAAUAUUAAUUGUGGUAUAAUUUUGCUGGACUUUAAGUCACUAAAAAGUGUAGUUUAUGUUGAAAUGUAUUCUAUUGUCAUUUCUUUUCAAUGUUAAGGUAUACUACACAUGGUCGUCAGAGGCCAUUCGGGCCAUAUGCACAUAGAUACUCUAGGCAACUGUAUAGGUGGUGGGAGUGUCUGUCCAGUUAAGCAUUUAUAAUAUUUUUGGAUUGAGUUUUGUAGUAGAACGCGUACUCUACAAACUUAGAGGAUCUUACAAUAAGACUUGUGUUGUUUGCAAUCGGUGAGAGAUAUACACGAUGGUACAAGAUCCCAUUCUUGUUGAGGAUUUUUUACGAGACGAGUUGGAUGGAGUCUUCAAUAGCGGUGCAGAAGCUAAUUGAAGAAACUGUUGCAUUCCAUAUUUCAUGUGAGAUAUAUGGAAUAGGUCAUGCUAACUUGGCAUCUGCAAUGAAUGAAUAUAUCGGAAGAAUAGACGAUUUUAAUUUUUAAUGUACCCCGAGAAAUGUUAGGAGAGCCUAUUUUGCAUGUAAAUAGUACGAAUUUGUGGAUUCAUAAAUUAUGUAAAAGAAAAUCUUUAUUAAUGUCAUAAAGUUUACAUUAA
This is a long non-coding RNA of Humulus lupulus (European hop), 2909 nucleotides long. RefSeq lists it as uncharacterized. NCBI's taxonomy places the organism in Eukaryota, Viridiplantae, Streptophyta, Magnoliopsida, Rosales, Cannabaceae. The transcript has 2 exons. The record is from RefSeq and is a predicted model, not a curated record.